UGUCCAGGGGGCCGCCUUCGCCACCGGUAUUCCUCCAGAUCUCUACGCAUUUCACCGCUACACCUGGAAUUCUACCCCCCUCUACAAGACUCUAGCCUGCCAGUUUCGGAUGCAGUUCCCAGGUUGAGCCCGGGGAUUUCACAUCCGACUUGACAGACCGCCUGCGUGCGCUUUACGCCCAGUAAUUCCGAUUAACGCUUGCACCCUCCGUAUUACCGCGGCUGCUGGCACGGAGUUAGCCGGUGCUUCUUCUGCGAGUAACGUCAAUUGCUGAGGUUAUUAACCACAACACCUUCCUCCUCGCUGAAAGUACUUUACAACCCGAAGGCCUUCUUCAUACACGCGGCAUGGCUGCAUCAGGCUUGCGCCCAUUGUGCAAUAUUCCCCACUGCUGCCUCCCGUAGGAGUCUGGACCGUGUCUCAGUUCCAGUGUGGCUGGUCAUCCUCUCAGACCAGCUAGGGAUCGUCGCCUAGGUGAGCCGUUACCCCACCUACUAGCUAAUCCCAUCUGGGCACAUCCGAUGGCAAGAGGCCCGAAGGUCCCCCUCUUUGGUCUUGCGACGUUAUGCGGUAUUAGCUACCGUUUCCAGUAGUUAUCCCCCUCCAUCGGGCAGUUUCCCAGACAUUACUCACCCGUCCGCCACUCGUCACCCAAGGAGCAAGCUCCUCUGUGCUACCGUUCGACUUGCAUGUGUUAGGCCUGCCGCCA
Molecule: ribosomal RNA, 709 nt
Filed under: Citrobacter youngae
Lineage: Bacteria; Pseudomonadati; Pseudomonadota; Gammaproteobacteria; Enterobacterales; Enterobacteriaceae
Description: partial 16S rRNA
Source: RNAcentral